RNAcentral lists this transfer RNA (72 nucleotides) under Camelus ferus (Wild Bactrian camel). It matches the Rfam family "tRNA". Rfam says of the family: Transfer RNA (tRNA) molecules are approximately 80 nucleotides in length. Their secondary structure includes four short double-helical elements and three loops (D, anti-codon, and T loops). Lineage: Eukaryota; Metazoa; Chordata; Mammalia; Artiodactyla; Camelidae. The record is from Rfam by way of RNAcentral.
GAGGGUGUAGCUUAGUGGCAGAGCGCAUGCUUAGCAUGCACAGGUUCCUGGGUUCAAUCUCCAGUACCUCCU